UAUAAGUAUGUGUUAAGAAUGUACUUAUAAGUAUGUGCUAAGAAUAUUCGAUAAAGGUAUAUUCUAAGAAUAAAGUUUUACGAAUAUUCCGAGUUACUACGUACACGAAUGUACUCAGUAUCUCCGGUACGAGAAUAUACUUUAAAGUAUAUGCAAAGAACAUGAAAUUUAGAAUGUUUUUUAAGGUACGUGCUAUGCUUGUACUACGCAUAUACUAAAAAGAAUAUACUCCGACGAAUGUUGGUAGUAUAUGCUUAGAACAUGAUACGAACAUCAUUGUUAUGUGGGUGAAGCCUAUAAUUCAAAAAUUCGAAUUUUCCCGGAUAUGAGGUGUACGUAGUGUGACCAACUAGCCCGAAAAUCCGGAACAUGGCCCGAAUUACUGUCCCGGACGAAGCUUCCGGGCCAUCCUAAUUUUAAACGUUUAGGUAAAAUUUUAUUUUGAAAUUUUGAAUACGUUAUUCUUCUAAGAAUUCAACAUUUUCUUCUCAUUUUUAAGCAAAUUCUAAGGUAAUCAACAUAAAACUGUUCUGAAGCUAAUUUCUUAUGGCAUGUUUAACAAUUAUAUUUUUGAUGGGAUUAAGCGACAAUUGUAUGAUAAUUACAUUUUUACAUUAAACUAAAAUUAUAUUGACAUUAAAAUCCAAUAUCAGUUGAUUUUCUAAUUUUUUCUUUUUUGAGAACGAUAUCCGGAUUGGAAGUCGAAACGUCAAAAACUAACAAAAAUAUAAUUACCAUUACAACCAAUUAUGGCUUAAUCCCAUAAAAAAUAUCAUUGUCAACAUAAAAAUGGCCCGAUUUUCAUUGAAAAGUCCCGGAUUUCAGGUAUUCUUUUCAGCCUUGUCCCGAAUUCCAUUGAAUUGGAGUUGGUCACACUAGGUAUACACCGUUAGAUGAGCCUAGAGCCCUUCUACAAACGGUCAGUUAAAGGCGCAAUUUGUAGGUUGAAAUUUUGAGUAAUUGUCGAAAAACCAAAAUUUUCAAAGUUUAGUUUUUCAGUUUUUCGGCUCUACUGAGCCGUGUGUAUGUCUAAUUCUGACGGCUUAGACAACGUUUGAAAGCUUAACUCAAUACUAUUGAUUUGGUGUAUGUGCGGUUCUUCUGUCUCUUAUUGGGCAAUCCAAACCACGUGACUUCUGGUUGGCACACAAAGUUACAGAGGAUUUGUUUGUAUUUAUCUAUUUUUCAUUGUUUAUCACUUUAUCGUCGUAUUUUGUCUAUUUUGGAUUCAUUUGGAUUUCGUUUGCUGUAUUUUGUGAACUUUAUAACCACACUGCAAAGUGAUCAUUUAAGGAAAUUAUUAUUAUUGGAAACUCAGAUGUUGCGAGAAAGGUAGGCGAAACAAUUUUUAUUUACUGUUCAUUUUGCCCCGAUAUUUAUCAAUAAUGAUGAAUUUUGCAAGCAAUAACAUUAUUUCUUUUAUUGUUUUAGAUAUUUAUGGAAUCUGAAAAUAAUUGGGGAUUUAGAUCCAUACGCAAUUCAGUCGAAAUUGGAUUUUACAGUAAAAGUGCAUUCCAUCAAGUUACUAUUAUAGAUAUUUAUACAUAUCUGGUAGAGUCUCACAGUUGCUACUCUAAGCAGCAGAUGAAAGCAUACAAAAGCCUUCAGGCACAUAAAUAUUUUACAGCUGGAUUUGUUUUGAAACUUGGAGUAAAAAUUGUUAAUGAUUUCCUGAUUUCCAUAUUAUUGUUGGAAAGGUGAAUCAUUUCCAAAAAGCUAAUGCUAAACGACUAAAUGCUUGGGUGGGGUGAUAGCCAGUUCUGAUGACAUAACAAAUGCACAUUGUAUGCGUAUGGCCAGUAAUAGUGAAGUCUGCAGCCACAUUGCAGCAAUCCUAUUUUUAGCUGAGUAUGCCCACGGCAAGACAAACGAAGAAGAACCCAAUGCAUGUAUAUAUGUUACAGCUACAUGGUUUGGAGAUAGCAACAUAUGCAUUCUCUGAUGAAAAACUAAUGAGUUUUGAAACUAUUCGGUCAGAGUGCUUGUUGCGCUCACUAAACGAACUGAAAUAUAAGACGGCUUUGGCAUUGUGUUGCAGCGAUAUGAAAAUGGUUAUUCAUUUUUAAUUAUAAUGUACUUCUUCAUCAUGAAUAAUUAUGUAUUGGUCUUUUAAGUGUGUAUUUAUUUUUGUAAUUAGUAUCAACUUGUAAUGAUAAUAUACAUUUAUCGUUUAAGGUAUGACUAAGUUUUGACUCUAAAAUAAAUGUUUUAAAAAUCGAA
Molecule: long non-coding RNA, 2220 nt
Filed under: Diabrotica virgifera virgifera (western corn rootworm)
Lineage: Eukaryota; Metazoa; Arthropoda; Insecta; Coleoptera; Chrysomelidae
Description: uncharacterized LOC126887994
Source: RNAcentral